RNAcentral lists this ribosomal RNA (468 nucleotides) under uncultured Rhodoferax sp. RNAcentral describes it as "bacterial SSU rRNA". It matches the Rfam family "Bacterial small subunit ribosomal RNA", at positions 916 to 1381 of the family's 1533-position model. The record is from RNAcentral. Lineage: Bacteria; Pseudomonadati; Pseudomonadota; Betaproteobacteria; Burkholderiales; Comamonadaceae.
ACGGGACCCGCACAAGCGGUGGAUGAUGUGGUUUAAUUCGAUGCAACGCGAAAAACCUUACCCACCUUUGACAUGUACGGAACCCUUUAGAGAUAGAGGGGUGCUCGAAAGAGAGCCGUAACACAGGUGCUGCAUGGCUGUCGUCAGCUCGUGUCGUGAGAUGUUGGGUUAAGUCCCGCAACGAGCGCAACCCUUGUCAUUAGUUGCUACAUUCAGUUGGGCACUCUAAUGAGACUGCCGGUGACAAGCCGGAGGAAGGUGGGGAUGACGUCAAGUCCUCAUGGCCCUUAUAGGUGGGGCUACACACGUCAUACAAUGGCUGGUACAAAGGGUUGCCAACCCGCGAGGGGGAGCCAAUCCCAUAAAGCCAGUCGUAGUCCGGAUCGUAGUCUGCAACUCGACUACGUGAAGUCGGAAUCGCUAGUAAUCGUGGAUCAGAAUGUCACGGUGAAUACGUUCCCGGGUCUU